RNAcentral lists this ribosomal RNA (519 nucleotides) under uncultured eukaryote. RNAcentral's name for it is "SSU rRNA". It matches the Rfam family "Eukaryotic small subunit ribosomal RNA", at positions 1162 to 1699 of the family's 1831-position model. The record is from RNAcentral.
GGGGACCACCAGGGGUGGGGCCUGGGGGUUUAUUUGACUCAACCGGGGGGAAACUUACCCCGGCUGGGACCUGGGAGGAUUGGCAGAUUGAGAGCUCUUUCUUGAUUCAGUGGGUGGUGGUGCAUGGCCGUUCUUAGUGGGGGGAGCGAUUUGUCUGGUUAAUUCCGAUAACGAACGAGACUCUAGCCUAUUAAAUAGGCUCCCGGCUUUUAAACGCCGGGAGGACUUCUUAGAGGGACAGGUGGCGGUUCAGCCGCACGAAAGAGAGCAAUAACAGGUCUGUGAUGCCCUUUGUUGUCCGGGGCCGCACGCGCGCUACACUGAAGAGAUCAGCGUGCUUUAUGUUCCUGCUCCGACCGGAGUGGGGAACCCAGUGAACCUUCUUCGUGAUUGGGAUAGAAGAUUGUAAUUAUUCUUCUUGAACGAGGAGUUCCCAGUAAAUGCGAGUCAUAAGCUCGCGUUGAUUACGUCCCUGCCCUUUGUACACACCGCCCGUCGCUACUACCGAUUGAACGAUUU